RNAcentral lists this ribosomal RNA (406 nucleotides) under uncultured bacterium. Its description in RNAcentral is "partial 16S ribosomal RNA". It matches the Rfam family "Bacterial small subunit ribosomal RNA", at positions 30 to 526 of the family's 1533-position model. The record is from RNAcentral.
AUUGAACGCUGGCGGCAGGCCUAACACAUGCAAGUCGAACGAGUGGCGUACGGGUGAGUAAUGUCUGGGAAACUGCCCGCUGGAGGGGGAUAACUACUGGAAACGGUAGCUACUACCGCAUACCAUCUGAUGUGCCCAGAGGGGAUUAGCUUGUAGGUGAGGUAACGGCUCACCUAGGCGACGAUCCCUAGCUGGUCUGAGAGGAUGACCAGCCAAACUGGAACUGAGACACGGUCGAGACUCCUACGUGAGGCAGCAGUGGGGAAUAUUGCACAAUGGGCGCAAGCCUGAUGCAGCCAUGCCGCGUGUAUGAAGAAGGCCUUCGGGUUGUAAAGUACUUUCAGCGGGGAGGCGUUACCCGCAGAAGAAGCACCGGCUAACUCCGUGCCAGCAGCCGCGGUAAUAC